CGGGCCCAGAGACGUGAGGCUGUCGGCGUCCUGGUGGCCCCGCCUCGUGUCCCCCCCCGGACCCCACGCCGCGGGAGCUUGGGGGUUGCGGUCUUCUCUUCCUCCGACCUCACCUUCGAUGCGGAAGCGCAGGGGCAGCCCCUACCCUCGUGACUACAAGGGAAAACGUGCGGUGCUCACGAGAGAGCCUUUAUGGGAUUUUUAAAAAAUGGGGAUUGUGGGAAAAUGGCUCCAGCAGUCACAGUUUUUCAGUUUCUCACAAUCCCAUAAAAACAGAGCAACCAGGUAACAAAACUAAAGCAUGGGCAACAUUUACAGACCACUGGAUGGUGAAGAAUUCCCAUGAACCCCUGGUUCACACUGUAAGGACACACUACUCAGCAUGGGCAACAUUUACAGACUACUGGAUGGUGAAGAAUUCCCAUGAACCCCUGGUUCACACUGUAAGGACAGACUACUCAGCAUGGGCAACAUUUACAGACCACUGGAUGAUGAAGAAUUCCCAUGAACUCCUGGUUCCAACUGUAAGGACACACUACUCAGCUGUAGCCUGAAGCCGCCUCCUUACAUACUGGGAAGGCGCCCAGUCCCCAGGAGCACAAUCUGUCC
Molecule: long non-coding RNA, 609 nt
Filed under: Homo sapiens (human)
Lineage: Eukaryota; Metazoa; Chordata; Mammalia; Primates; Hominidae
Description: HSALNT0395443
Source: RNAcentral